Molecule: ribosomal RNA, 406 nt
Filed under: uncultured Brucella sp.
Lineage: Bacteria; Pseudomonadati; Pseudomonadota; Alphaproteobacteria; Hyphomicrobiales; Brucellaceae
Description: bacterial SSU rRNA
Rfam family: Bacterial small subunit ribosomal RNA
Source: RNAcentral
GGGGAAUAUUGCGCAAUGGGGGAAACCCUGACGCAGCAACGCCGCGUGCGGGAUGAAGGCCUUCGGGUUGUAAACCGCUUUCAGCAGGGACGAAGGGUUUCUGACGGUAACCGGAGAAGAAGCCCCGGCUAACUUCGUGCCAGCAGCCGCGGUAAUACGAAGGGGGCUAGCGUUGUUCGGAUUUACUGGGCGUAAAGCGCACGUAGGCGGACUUUUAAGUCAGGGGUGAAAUCCCGGGGCUCAACCCCGGAACUGCCUUUGAUACUGGAAGUCUGGAGUAUGGUAGAGGUGAGUGGAAUUCCGAGUGUAGAGGUGAAAUUCGUAGAUAUUCGGAGGAACACCAGUGGCGAAGGCGGCUCACUGGACCAUUACUGACGCUGAGGUGCGAAAGCGUGGGGAGCAAACA